This is an RNA transcript of Dunckerocampus dactyliophorus (ringed pipefish), 21030 nucleotides long. It is a transcript of the gene named UDP-N-acetyl-alpha-D-galactosamine:polypeptide N-acetylgalactosaminyltransferase 12, with no coding region annotated. The record is from RefSeq and is a predicted model, not a curated record. The transcript is spliced from 10 exons. NCBI's taxonomy places the organism in Eukaryota, Metazoa, Chordata, Actinopteri, Syngnathiformes, Syngnathidae.
ACCGGCUCAUUCGACACCACUUUGCGAGUCCAUUUCAACUAACCGGUGUUGUCCAACUUUGUCUAGCGGCUCCAAAGUUACGGGUGCACUCAAAUUGUGACAAUUCACGGUGGGCAAAGUGUCCUCUCGGUCUCUGGUCGUCUUCGUCUCGCUGUAAAGUAAAGGAACAGGCGCUGGGAGGUUAGAUUGGACCGAAAUGGACUGAGUUAGUUGGAGUCGGCGACUGGCGAAAGCAACCCUCAAGUAAUCCGGGUCAGUAAUUAAUCCGCGUUGCUUAAUCCAUUUAUACUUGUCCUGAUCGAAUGGAGAGGACAGGAAGAGGAGUGUCCUACGGUUGUUUUUUGACGUUGCCGGGGCCGCAGUGAGAUGUUUGGCGGCGGGCGAGCGGGAAGUUAGUUGGCCAACUCAGGAAGUUAACAGAGCUGAGGACACAACCAGGAAGAAGCGAUGGCUGUCAGAUGGAGACGGACCCGGUCCACUUUUAGGCUUCUCCUCGUCGGAGCCACCAUACUGACCUGUGUCUUUUACUUCUGGGAUUUCUCCUCGGAUGCGAGCGUCAAACAGCGACGGAAGGCCGAUAUCAUGGACCUGGAGAGGCUGAAGAGGCCAGUCUACGAGAAGCCCCCCUUGGAUGUGGACGCCCCUGGGGAGCUGGGCACAGCCGUCCAGCUGGAACUGGAUGGGGAGGAGAAGCUGAAGGAGCAGGAGAGCAUUUCAAAGUAUCAGAUCAACAUUUAUGUCAGCGACAAGAUCUCACUGCAUCGCCGCCUGCCAGAGAGGUGGAACCCACUCUGCAGAGAUCUGGAUUACCACUACACGUCCUUGCCGACGACCUCGGUAGUGAUCGCUUUCUACAACGAGGCCUGGUCCACCCUGCUGAGGACAGUCCACAGCGUCCUGGAGACGUCUCCCGACAUCCUGCUCAAGGAGCUGGUGCUGGUGGACGACUACAGCAACAGAGAUCACCUGAAGGCGCCGCUGGAGGAGUACCUGUCAGGAUUCAGGAAGGUGCGUCUGAUCCGGGCCACCAAGAGAGAGGGCUUGGUGCGAGCCCGCCUGCUCGGGGCGUCCGUCACCACUGGCGACGUGCUGACCUUCCUGGACUGCCACUGCGAGUGUCACGAGGGCUGGCUGGAGCCCCUUCUCCAAAGGAUCAAAGAGGAGCCGACGGCCGUGGUGUGUCCCGUCAUCGACUCCAUCGAUUGGAACACCUUUAAGUAUUUGGGCAACCCCGCUGAUCCUCAGAUCGGGGGGUUUGACUGGCGGUUGGUCUUCACCUGGCACCAGAUCCCUGAGCAUGAGAAGAAACGGCGCCGCUCGCCCACUGAUGUCAUCAGGUCUCCGACCAUGGCCGGGGGUUUGUUUGCCGUCAAUAAGAAGUUUUUCACUCACUUGGGGACGUACGAUGCUGGGAUGGAGGUGUGGGGAGGAGAGAACCUGGAGUUCUCCUUCAGGAUCUGGCAGUGCGGCGGCAGCCUGGAGAUCCACCCGUGCUCUCACGUGGGCCACGUGUUCCCAAAGAAGGCGCCGUACCAGCGCAGCCACGCCCUGGCCAACAGCGUGCGUGCCGCCGAGGUGUGGAUGGAUGAACAAAAACGUAUCUACUAUCACCGCAACCCCCACGCCAGAGCGGAGCCGUUCGGCAAUGUGAGCGAGCGACUGAUGCUGCGAGAAAGGCUGGGUUGUAAGAGCUUCAAGUGGUACCUGGACAAUGUUUACCCCGAGCUCCACGUCCCACAGGACCGGCCGGGCUUCUUUGGAAUGCUGAAGAACCGGGGGAAGGCCGACUAUUGUUUGGACUACAAUCCUUCAGAUGAAAACAACUGCUUUGGCGAAAGAGUCAUUAUGUAUGCGUGCCAUGGCUUGGGCCAGAACCAGUUCUUUGAAUACACCGCGGAGGCGGAGAUCCGAUACAACACCAGAGUGCCCCCCGGCUGCGUGGAAGGCGAUGUCGUCAGCACCUACCUGACGGUCCAAGCGUGCAGGAAACACGGGAAGCCCGCACUCGCCCACCAGAAGUUCCUCCUCAGACACGUAACCGUCUCUCCAACAUGCAGAUGCCUCCGUGUUUUUUGGACUUUGAUGCUGAGAGGCUGCUUUUCUUCCAGGACGACAGCCUGUUCCACACCGUCAGCCAGAAAUGUGUUGAAGCGGGGGACAAAUUCCCGUCCCUGCAGCCCUGCUCGGACAGCCCCCAUCAAAAGUGGUUCUUUCAGGAGCGAACGUAACGAUAUGUUGUCACGGAGUGGAUCACGCUGCUAAAUGUUGUUUUUCCCUCCCAGCACGUUUUCAUCUUAGCUGGAUGGGGAUAUAUUUUUUUAUUAUUAUGGGAUGCUUUGCAGACUUAUGGGGCUUUUGUCUACUGAAGAAGACGCUAAAUGAAGAACACUCGCCUCCUCUGCUGGCUAGCCUUCCUUUUCCUCCACUCACUGCAUCUUGCACCGGAAUGUGCGCCUCCAUCUGGACCAAACACUCAAAGGGGUGUUUGCACUUAUGCCUGCAGAGGGUGCGGAUGCGCCUCCAUAAAGGAAGCUUGAAGGUGAGAAGCUCCGCAGGGAAUUUUCAUCAUGCCGCUUCGUCAAUGGAGGCUGGGAAAAUAAGGGAAAACUCGUCUUACACUCGCCUUAUACUCCUCCCACGCAAAUCUGUCUACCGCUUUUGAAGUUCUUCAACCGACAUUCAAAGAUUCAAUGAAAGCCAUAUUUUUCCUCUUUUUUUUUUCUAUUCGUCCUUUUAUUUAUCUUUUUUUUUUUUUACUAAUGCUUGAGUCACAUCGAUAAGACUGUACACUCGUGAUUCAGCAUUUGCGUCCCAGAUUUUUUGCCAAAUUAUUUUUUCCAUCAUCCAUCCAUCUUCUAUGCCGCUUGUCCUCACUAGGGUCGCAGGGGUAUGCUAGAGUCUAUCCCAGCUGACUUGGGGAGCGAGGCGGGGUUACACCCUGGACUGUUAUUUAAAUUUUAUACAUUUAUUUUUACAUUUUUACAUUUUUUAUUUUGCCUAUGAAAAUAGGCAGUUUUGGCAGUAGAAAACACACUUAAUUCACCAUAAGUUUGCUAAUACUUUGUAAAUAUGUGAUAAUGCAGGUAAAAUGUACAGCAUACACAGACCAGCCCACAAAUGUUGCCUUUUUUUAUGUCUGUGUGCUUCACUGAUAAUGUUUUUUCGUCAAGAAGUGAGAUUUCACACUUUGUUCUGCGGCCCCUGAAUGCACCAUAGUUGUGUGCUGAGAUGCAAAAGUGAAACUUAUGUAGUGGAACCUCGGUUUUCGUCAUUAAUUUGGUCCAAAAAGUCCAACGGAAACUGAACUGUAUGAAAACUGUUGGGAAUGUCUGUGAAUUGUGUCUAGGAGUCUGAAGGACAAUUGAAUUCAAAUAGGAGGCUAUACUAGCAAUUGUAAUGCCAGCGCCGGAGAGAGUGAUUAGUGGCCAACAAGGGUUUCGAUCUCUUUGAACAAGAGGGAAAAGAUUCUAUUCCUAACAAAACCAUUUAUCUGCUUCGGACACCUAAAAAUAUAUUUUUUAAAUUCAUUUUGUACAGAAUAAUUAUAAUUUGUGCAAAAUAAUUAUUGACAAAUGCAGUUUGUUUCAUGCAAUAUUGUAUGAAAACAGGCAACAUUUUUGACAAAAAACAAAUCUUACAAAAACUAGCGUACGAAAAGGUUUGACUGUAAAAUAGAACUCUCCCACACUGCCACAACUUAAUACAGGGGUGUCCAGAGUGCGGCACGGGCGCCAUUUGCAGCCCGCAGCACAUUCUAAAAAUAUAAAUAAACAAAUAAAUAGAGAGAAAAAGUCAAAAUUUGAGGAAAAAUAACGCCAUUUUAGUAGCAUGAAGUUGAAAUAUUAGAGAAAAUAUUAGAGAAAAAAUACCUUUUUUCAAAGUUGUAAUACUGCAUUAUGAAAAGCAAAACAAAGGUAUUUUUUAAAAUUAGGUUGCGUAAGAAGUUAUGUUACGAGGAAAAAGUUAAGACAAAGUCGUAAUUGUGAAAAGAAAAUGUACAAGAACGUUUGAAAUAUUUGAAUAAUUAAAAAAAAAAACAGCAGAAAAGAAAAAAAAGCUGUAACUUUGCAAGUGUAACGGCGUAAAGUUGAAAUAUUAAAAAAGAGAAACAACAGCCAAAAUAGGGAGAAAAAAGCAUAAAGUGAAGUUCAUACUAUUCGACUUUUUCACUGAUAUCACCGAGAUUCAGUUUUUUCUUGAAAUAUAUAAAACAUCUUAGCAUACCUUUUGAUUUUUUCACUGUGCGGCCCUCGCAGGAAGAUGUUUGGACACGCCCGGCUUAAUACAUCAAUCCGAUCACAGAUAAUCUUACUUUAUCAUUCAUUAAUGCUGAGUAGCUACUGAAUACAUUUUAUACUUUAAAUGUGUUUAAUAAGUUUGUGAGGCAUAUUUAGGGCUUAAACCUGGAUUGUGUCGCGAGUGAACAAUAGCAAUUGAUGAGAGUAGCGGAGGUUGUGGCACAGGGUGAACGUGCCGUGUGUCUCACUGGUGGGGCCAGAUCGGAACCCCUGUGAAAACUGAGGCUCCACCCUAAUUUCACAUUCUCCAUGGGAGCGUGGAUGAGGUUCCUGAUUGGUAAACAGUGCACCAAAAGUGUGCAUCUUGCCUCUGCACAGAAUACAUUCUGGACUCUGGUCCCUUGUGGAACCGGAGGCCCCAGGCUAUGCCGCCGGUGCCGUAGGAAACGCUAUGAAAAAAGGCCGACACCAUCUCUGGAGUGUUCCAAUAGCAGAUGGUUGGCUGUCUUUUUUUUUUCUUUUUUUUUUUCCUAAAAAUGUUCAACAUCCCCGCUCUUCCAGAAUAGGUUUCAUCUUUAUGAUGCGUCAAGUCAUUGGCAUGGAUAUGCAAGGACGGCACCAUAAAGGUGCAUCGUCAUUUUUAACAGUGGAAGCAGAUGAUUGGGGAGACUCGAGGAAGAAAUUGGGACGACCUCGUUAGUGCUCACCUUCAGCGGUGAGCCUAUGCUGUUGCACUUUUUUUGCAAUUGAUUGUGAAUGUAAAGUCAACAGUGGCACUGAGAUAAAUCACAUCAGCCGGGGGGAGGAGAAAAAGACGUGAAACACAGUCACUAAGUAUGGGGGAUAGAGGCGGGGAUGUUUGUUUUAUUCAGGUUCUUAUAAAUCAUAUGCCAAAACCAUCACUGCAUGGCGGCCUUCAUAUUCUGCUUGCUACGAUAAAUGGACCAAAUCUAAGUUUGGUGUAUAAUUUUAAAUGAGCGUAUUUUGUUUGCGGAGGAAAAGAAAUGAACUUCAGCAAUUGUGAAUGUUGCUGCAAAUUCAUGAGUUUUUUGGGGUAAUUGUUUCUGUGAGGUUUCCACAAUGUUAUGAUCAUGUAAUAGAUUGGCGCUUAAAUCUUUAAUAACCUGAAAACUAUGACUGCACAAAUUUUAAUUGCACAAAACAGCACAAACAAAUGGGACUAUUUUGGUUUAAUUCGGAGGACUGUGUGAACAUUGAUUGACCUCUACAGUAAAAUAUUCUGUAAUAACUCAAAAAUGAAAGCGGCACAAACGUAAUUUAUUUGCAAAACCAGCACAAACGACUAUUUCUGUUUACUAAUGGGGGGACACCAUGAUUAGUGCACAGGUGUGCCUUAGACUGCCCACAAUAAAAGGCCACUCUGAAAUGUGCAGUUUCAUCACACAGCACAAUGCCACAGAUGUCACAGGAUUUGAGGGCGCGUGCAAUCGGCAUGCUGACAGCAGGAAUGUCAACCAGAGCUGUUGCUCGUGUAUUGAAUGUUUAUUUCUCUGCCAUAAGCCGUCUCCAAAGGUGUUUCAGAGAAUUUGGCAGUACAUCCAACUAGCCUCACAACCGCACACCAGGUGUAAUCACACCAUCCCAGGACCUCCACAUCCAGCAUGUUCACCUCCAAGAUCGUCUGAGACCAGCCACUCGGACAGCUGCUGAAACAAUCGGUUUGCAUAACCAAAGAAUUUCUGCACAAACUGUCAGAAACCGUCUCAGGGAAGCUCAUCUGCAUGCUUGUCGUCCUCAUCGGGUUCUCGACCUGAUUCCAGUUUGUUGGCACGUUGGAGAAGUGUUCUCUUCAUGGAUGAAUCCCAGUUUACACUGUUCAGGGCAGCUGGCAGACAGCGUGUGUGGGUGAGCGGUAACCCUAACCACACCCAAUAAAACAAAACUGCCCAUUUCAGAGUGGCCUUUUAUUGUGGGCAGUCUAAGGCACACCAGUGCACUAAUCAUAGUGUCUAAUCAGCAUCUAGCAAAGGAAAAGUGCUCACUAUCACAGAUUUGUGAACAAUAUUUGAGACAAAUGGUGAUAUCGUGUAUGUGGAAAAAGUUGGAGAACUUUGAGUUCAUCUCAUAAAAAAUGGGAGAAAAACAAAAGUGUUGCGUUUGUAUUUUUGUUGAGUGUACUUCUGUGAGUCAGGAGAAUGUCGACCGGGUUUAGUCAUGCCAGUCAAAAUAUUCAGAUAUUAUGACGACUUGUCGUCAAAGCUUGCUUAUGGUCACGUGACGGCGGCGGGUCGGUGGCGUCAUUGUUUGCAGAAAGAAGCGGUUUUAACGACAAGCCGGCGUGCUCAAGCAUUAUAAUACUUUGCCGUUUUGACCUGAAAACGUUUCCGUGGGGACGGCCCCAAAGAGACUGUAUUCCCCCAGGUUUAGUGCCUUGGGUGGAGGCUUUCACUUCCGUUUCCAGGCCAUGUGCUUGUUGCAAAGUUGUUGUUGCUUAGUUCAGUGGAGAGUAAACGGUUGCUUCUUCUCAUCCUUGACUUCUCUCUGGUUCUCAUUUACUUAUGUCUCCACAUUUGGUGACCCCAACUUGAUAUGAACAUUGAAGAUUAUAAAUCACAUCUCCACACUGCAGUAUUUCCCUAAUCCUUCCCCAGUAUUUCCAUGCUGUUUCCAAAGUGCAACAUUUCCCCAUUGUUCCUGCAGUGCUGCUCCGAUAUUUCCCCAUUUUUGCCUGGAUUUUCCAUGCUACUUCAUUCUUGUUUCUUCAAUGCCCUUAUGCUUGUUCCCCGAUACCAGGGGUGGCCAAUACAUCGAUCACGAGCCACCGGUACAUCGCCAGGGUAGUUUGGGUAGAUCGCGUAAACGGCACUUUGUCGUUGUCAUAUGACAUCAGUCAGCUGACAUUAAGCUCCCCCCCUGAUUCGCGCUUGCUCCUCCGCAGCGUUUCAAGCUACACAGGAAGAUGCAACUUUCAUGUUUAUUAUUGUGAUUAUGGGUGAACUAACUCUGCGGUAAGAUGUCUAUAUCUAUAACAAAAGUUAUAUGUUCACUUGUAGCGGCUAGUUGCGUAGAAAAAAAGUGUAUUGUUUACUGGCUUUGCUUGGCUUCAUGAACUCUACUACAGAAAUCAGUGUUUUCUACACGUUCGCUUCUUAAACUAUUAUUUCAUGAUGAAAUUAAAAAUGUGCCCAUUAGUGAAACCUUUUCAAUAUGUUGCCAAAAUCAUUUUAAAUUCUUGUAUAUGGGUAAUGUUUGAUAGCAAAUGCUAACUGGAUGUAAUCCAUGAACUGUGUGCCCUAAUGAACGUUAUGUAGCUAAUUUGACCGACAUAUUACCAGUACUCAGGUUAUGUUCACAAUUAUUUAGGAGUUAUGUGUAAUUUAUCUUUAUUUCCAUAGUGAAGUGAAUUAUAGCAACUUUGAAAAUGUGAAUGUGAAAUACUAAUAAUUAAUAUUUACAAUAGAAUUCCACAGUUUACUGGUUACAUUUUGGAUAUGUUAUAUGUUUUAUAGAAAGAGGUAGAUCAUUUUGACUUGUACUUGCAUGCUGAGAAAGUGUGUGCACUCCUGAUACACAUGUAUAACCUACAUAAAUACCUACUCAUAGUUUAUUAAAAUAAAUAUAGUAAAUAUAUAUACUUUCUAUAUUUAUAGUAGUAGGUAGAUCUUUGGGACUUGGUCAUUUUAAAAGUAGCUUGCAGGCUAAAAAAGUGUGAGCGCCCCUGCCCUAUGCAUUCCUAGUCUUCUCAUGAUGUUUCCACACAUACUGUACAUCCAUGCUUUUUCCCCCUAAUUUUCAGUGAUAUUUCCCCAGCAGUGGUGCCACUUUUUUACAAAGUUUCUUCAAUGUUUCCCCUAUGUUUCCAAGAAAUGUCCAUGGAGUUUCCCAUUAUGUUUCUCUAACGUUUCCCCAAUCUUCCCAUGACCAGUGAAUUUUCUUGCAUAGUGGGAGGAAUUUUCCUUAUUUUCUCCCCAAAAUUCCUAUAUUUCAUAUUUUCCAAUAGAAAUGUUGACAGGUGCGUUUCCAAUGCAUGUUAGUAACAGUGUGGUCGGCUCCUCCUCCUAAUCUUUUGGGCGCAUCCAUGUGAAACGCAGAGCAGUGAGCUUAUAAAAAAGAAAAAAGUGGAAAUUCUGACAGCGCCUCUCCACAUCGACGACGGCGGCGUGUGCUGCUGUGCUAUCCGUGCGCAGAGCCGAAAGGCCUUGCGUUUGAUGCAGGGUGGCAUAACACGCUGCGCUCGUCUCCCAUAGCACAUAUGUGUCUUUAAUGAUAAUGCAAAACAAGACUCCCCAUGGGUUCAAUCUUUGGAAAUGCUCAGGCUUCAGUUGUCAGGGCGACGCACAAACACACACACGCACACGCACACACACACACACACACACACAUAGGAUGGGCCAUUUCUCCACUGCAUGUCGCUUUAGUUUAUGUAAUCCCCAAUACCCAGAACAGCUCAGGAGCUGUUGGCUGCAUACAUUAGAUGACACACUUUCACUUUCAGGGGGGACUUGAGACGGUGCAGUAAACAUGUGAGGCCGCAUUUCUAAUGCAGUGCCUGCCUCCACCCCGCUCGUCGCGUUUGUAUAAGACGCCGUGUUUCUACUGACGUUUAGCAGCCGCGUGUUGCACGUCGUCUGUUCCUGUGGGACCGUGUUGGUGCCCGAACUCACAAACUCACGUUGAAAUCACAUAUUGAUUUGUUUGUGCUUCCACCAUAUUGUCAAAGACUCCCAUUCUGGUUGGCAUCUCCUCCAAGCUUUCCUCCCACGCCACAAGCCCCAUUUUCUUGAAAGUGUUCCUUGCCGAUAAAAAGCUUCCACAAGCGAUGAGGCCCCAACCACCACCGCUAUCACCAUUCCAUUUAUUUCACGUCAUCUGAUGGCUUGAUUGCUUGCUAAAUGGCCUGCCUGCACCCCCCAGUGGGUAUACUGUAGGUUGUAUAUAUUCCUUUGGAUGCAAAGAUUCUACCUCAGACAGGGAGGUUUCCUAACGCAAUGUUCAUAAUAGUGUAAACAUGCUGGCUUUUAGUAUGGAUGCUUUUUCUGCUACAGAAAGAACAAAAACAUCGCAAUGGUAAGCCAUAAUUAGGCAAAAAAAAGUAAUUAUGAGAUAAAGUCAAUUAAAAUAAUAAAAUUAUGAGAUAAAAAGUCAUAAUUAUGACCUAAAAAGUCCAAAUUAUGGAUUACAAACUGCGCAUGUGCCGCCUUCUUCACUGGAGCCUUCGUCAUCACAUGGAACAUGUGAAGUUUGAAUAUCAGAAUUUUGACUUUUUAUCUCACUGACUUUUUUUCUGACUUUUUUCCUCGCAAUUUCAUCUUUUUAUCUCCUAAUUAUGACUUAUAUUGGGAUAUUUUUUUUCUUUCAGUGGCGGAAAUGGGCUUCCAUACCAUGGAGCAGUGUUUCGCUUAAAAAACAAAACAAAAAAACAGUAACUUUUGGAAAUUCACCAGGAAGCAGAAUCAACUGGGCCUUUAGGCAACAAAGGCAAAUGCUAAGGGUGCCAUGGCCUCCAGGACGUGCCAAAAAAUUUGGGGGGAAAAAUCACAUCCACUAUUGUGCACUCCUGAUCAAAAUUUUAAAACCAGAGUUGGAUCCUUAGGAGGUUCUGAGUUCAUAAUGCAAAAAGAAGAAAUGGAGUGAGACAACAAAUGUUUUGACUAAGCAAUUUGUUGCAUUGAAGCAUUCAAGUGAAAGGGGCUGGUCAUCAGCUGAUCAAAAGUUUAAAACCACAAUCUUUAAAAGCCAAAAUAAAAAAAAAUGUGGCUUGAAUGUGACUUAUGAAUGUGAGCCAGAGGAUCCCAUUGGCUGUCCGUCAAGACACGGGACCAUCCUCGACCCAAAUGAAGGUUGUUACUGGUGAUGAAUGCCGUCCAAUAAUCAUCACACAGGAUCUGCGAGAGAAGGCUCCCCCCCCCACCCCCCACCCCCCGGCCUGUCCAGCCUUUAAAGCAGAUAGAAUUGUAGAUCUAAAUGCCGUCAAGUGCUCAACAGAUCUACUCUGCCAGGGAGUGUGAUAUACAAUUCCCCUGUUAUACAGAAUUUAUUUGACUUAGAUGCUUGUUAUUAAGCAAAUUUGGAGCGACCGGACCGGAGCAGGAGGGGACAGAGAAGAAGAGAAAGGGGGGGUGUGGGGUUAAGAGGGGGACAAAAAAAAAGACAAGGACAACAGCAGCAACAACAACAAUUGUGACAACAAGAACAGAACAACAGAAACAUACAGAACGACAUCAGCAAAUAAAUGUCUGUGACGACUAUAAAGACGAACAAGGACAUAAGGACAAAGGACAAAACAAUAUCAACAACCACAAUGAUAACGCUGUCAAUGACAAUCACACAUAAUAGUAGUAAUGAAAUGAUGAACUAUGAUAGUGAUCACAAUGACAAUACUGCAUUGAAACAGUCACACAUAAUAGUAGUCAUGAAAUGAUUAUCCAUGAUAGUGAACAGAAUGACAAUAACUGUAAUGCAUAUCAUUGUUAAAAAAAAACUAUAGUCAUACUCCUGAUAUCGCCAUCGCUGUAAUAAAACCAACAACAUAAUAACACCCUGGUUAACUCAGUGAGUAAUGUGGGGAAGUACAUAUGUACUGUGAGUGUGCAUAUGUACAGGUAUCUCUGUAUGUGGGGAAGACUUCAUAUAUAUAAAGGUGCAAGAAUGUGUGGGCGUGUAAUUGUCACUGAGAAUGCAUGAAAGGAAAGGGGCCGCCCUCCACCUCCUAGAGAGCCCCGCCCCAAAUAGCCAGGCCGAGCCCCCGCCGCCAGAAGGCCACCAGGCCCACAGGGGCAGGCAGAACAAAGAUCAGCCCAGAGAGCCCUCCCCCCUGGGAAGACCAGCAAGGGGCCGCAGAGAGGUAAUCCCAGCCAAAGACAGGGCAGCCAACCCCUGAGACCAGCAAGAGAUCACACCCCACAAAGGCAGACGAGUACCGGGGGCCACACAACCGGAAAGAAGCCCGCCCACGCCGGAAGGAAGAGAAGGCUUUUAAGAAGAAAAAACGUCUUCAGAGGCCUUGUCUCCUUCAAUGCCACAAAAUUGCCCGUUUGGAAUUUUCAGGAGAGCGCCAAAAAUGGGACAUUGAAAGGUGGAAGAAAGUUUUAUUCUCCGUUCAUGGUCCUGAUGGCUUCCAACGUUACUGGCAUGACAAGGAGAUCCCACCUGAGAUGUUUUCCACACGGCACGAAAUAGGGCUAUGUGGAGAUGUUGCAGGGGGCAUCCUUCAUGACUGAAGGCCCUCGUCUGUGUGGUAAUGACUGACUUUUUCAAAAGGACAACGCUGCACUUUACAAGGCACUUCUUCCAGAGGAGUACGCUCACUCUUUUGGACCGUCCUGCAUGUUCCUCCCAUCUAAAUCCAAUGGAAAACGUUUGGGGAUGAAUGGCAAGGGAAGUUUACAAAAAUAGACAGUGGAUGCCCUUCAUGAAGCCAUCUUCACCACCUGGACCAAAAUUCCCACUAGCCUGCUGGAAACACUGGCAUCAAGCAUGCCCAAACCCAUUUUUCAUCUAAAUAAGAAGAAUGGCACAGCUACUUAUUACUCACUCCUUUUUUUAAAACCUUUUUUUCUAUUUUAAGGUGGGUUUCAGAGUUUUUGGAUCACUUUUGAUCAGCUGUUUAUCCGCUGAUCAUAAGUAUUACUAAUAUUAUCAGCUGAUGACAGCCUAUUUCACUUUAAUGCUUGUUUGUAAUAAAUUGCUUAUGCAAAACAUUUUUUUCCCACUCCCAUUCCGUCUUUUUGCAUUUUGAAGCUCUAUUAUAACACGGGGUCCAAACUUUUUCCACCAAGGGCCGCAUACUGAAAAAUCAAAGGAUGCAGGGGCAACUUUUCUAUUUAAAAAUAUAAAACUUGGUAUUGGUGACAAAACUUAUUAUUAGCAUGAAGUUUUCUCCUUAAGUUUAUGAUUUUUACAAAUAUUCCUGCUUUCUUCUUGAACUUUUUUGUAUCAUUAAGUGUUUAUUCUUUUAAUAUUUGACUAUAUUAUUGUAAUAUUUUUGUUACUAGACCACUGGCGGUAUUUUUUUAAAUUGUCAUUUAUGCAGUGGUACCUUGGCAUACAAGUGUUUUUUAGAUGGGAGCCUUCUCUCCACUUUUUUGCUUUGAACUGCGAGCUAAAAUUUGGGUUACGACCUGCUAUUUACUGGCAGGCAUAACCGAGGAAAGAUAUUUGGGGUCCUAUGUCAAUGUGACCAUGGCUCAAGAUGAAAAUGGAUGUAAAUAGCAUUCGCAGUGCAGUAGCUAGUCACCAGGAAAGAUUUUCAGCACAUCAGUAAAACAUUAUACAUUAUAGUAAUAAUACAUUACAGAAUAGUGACGUAAUUGGUCUUAUUUAUUAUUUAUUGUUUAAAACUAUGACAGGAAUAACAACAAAUUAAAAGCACGAAAUGAAUACAGAGCCACGAUCUACCAGUAGUAUGUCAGUGGGAUUGAGAAGGGCCUCAAAGUACCGUCCGACUGCUGUAUAUCCUCAGUCGAAGUCAGCAGUCCCCCGAUUGAUCGGGCACUGUUUCCCCUUUCUGAGGCGGCCGAUGGUUUGCCAGGACCUCUUUGAAGACGACCGAAAGUCGUGCUCCAUGGCCUCACUGAACUCCUCCCACACCCGAGUUUUUGCCUCGACCACCGGCAAAGCCGCGUGCCGCUUGGCCUGCCGGUACCUGUCAGCUGCUUCAGGAGUCCCACAAACUAUCCAUGCCCGAUAAGACUCCUUCUUCAGCUUGACGGCAGCCCUGACCUCUGGUGUCCACCAUCGGGUUUGGGGCUUGCCGCCACAACUGGCACCAACCACCUUGCCGCCGCAGCUCUCAACAAUCGAGGCAUGGAAUAGGGCCCAUUUGGGCUCAAUAUCAUCGUCCUCCCCCGGGAUGCAAGUGAAGCUCUGCCGGAGGUGAGAGUUGAAGACUCGCCGAACGGGAGCCUCUGCCAAACGUUCCCAGCACACCCUCACUACACGUUUGGGUCUCCCAGGUCUGUCCAGCAUUCUCCCCUCCCAUCUAAUCCAACUCAUCACCAGGUGGUGAUCACUUCACCGACUUACAUACCUUCCAUAGAGGAACCAGAGUCUGAGGACACGAACGUGGACAGUUCCAUCACCAUGGCUGACAUAUUUGGAGUAGUCAAAACGCUCCCCAGUGGCUUAUCUCCGGUGGUGGACGAGUUUUGCCCUGGUUUCCUCAAGGCUCUGGAUGUAGAGGGACUGUCUUGGCUGACACGUCACUUAAACAUUGCGUGGAAGUCGGGAACAGUACCUCUGGAUUGGCAGACCGGGGUGGUGGUCUCCCUUUUCAAGAAUGGUGACCGGAGGGUGUGUUCCAACAAAAGGAGGAUCACACUCCUCAGACUCCCUGGGAAAGUCUAUUCCACGGUGCUGAAAGAAGGAUAUGACCGAAAGAACGAGAUCGCGGAUACAAGCGGCUGAAAUGAGUUUCCUCCGUAGCGUGGCUGGACUCACCCUAAGAGAUAGGGUGAGGAGCUCAGUCAUCUGGGAGGAGCUCAGAGCAGAGCCGUUGCUCCUUCACAUCCAAAGGAGCCAGUUGAGGUGGCUUGGGCAUCUAGUGCGAAUGCCUCCCUGGUGAGGUGUUCUGGGCAUGCCCAGCUGGGAGAAGGCCCCGGGGCAGUCUAUGAGACUAGGAUUAUGUCUCACAGCUGGCCUGGGAAGGCCUUGGUGUCCUACUGGUGGAGCUGGAGGAGGUAGCUGGGGACCGGGAAGUUAGGGCUUCCCUGCUGAGACUGCUGCUCCCGUGAUCCGGACCCGGAUAAGUAGAUGGAUGGUUGGAUGGAUGGAUCCACCCGUACGAGCCCGGAGUUUGUUUUUCAGAGAGGUGCGCCACACAAAUACAGCACUCAAUAAGGUCCUCAGAUUUUACCUUUAUGUAUUCCCUUUAUGUAUUUUUGUUUUUAUGUAUUUUUUGAAAAUGCUUUUUGUCUCACUCCCCCUUCUUGUUUUUGCAUAUUGUAGCUCUACUUAAAACCUCAUUAAGAUCCAAAUGUGCAAAAUGCUAAUUCGAGCAAUUUUUAAGAUUCUUAAGAUUUUGAUCAGGAGUGUACCUUGCUGGAUGUGAGAUAUGGCGUCUAUUACGGUACGUUGGCUAAGGAGUACAGUGGAUGAAGUACACAAAAGCGCUUUUUGGAGUCCACGCCGCUCAUUAUCGUAAACGGGUUGGACUGUGUCGAUCUCGACUGCACACCUCGACUCACUCUUCAUUUGGAGCGCUGAGAACUUUGACUCUGCUUUUCACGCAGUGUGAUCAAAUUGAAUGGCGUCCUCUCUUGAGGGCCCGAGUCGUCUACGUGUAAUGAUGCAGGUCAAACACUUGUCUUGAGCGUGUGAAUUAAACGCCUCAUCACUCCGCAGAGGCCUUCCUCCUCCUCUUCCUCCGGAUAGACACCAGGCUAACAGUAUUAAUAUGUUGAGAAUCUAACAUUUGAAUGAUUUUUUCAUCCAGCAAAUGAAUGAGUGUGCUCUAUUAAUCCCAUCUGGUGAUGCAGACAGAAAAGGAUGCAGCUGUGCUCCAAGCUGCUCAUGUUAUUUUAAUACAGAGGCACCACUCUGUUAUUUUUUUGGGUAUGUGUGUGAGGUUAAAAAAAACCCAGGUAUUUCCUGCGUGUGCAUAAAUCUUUACUGAUGUGAUGAUGAUGCGCUCGGUCAGAUUGACAAAACACCAAAUAGCCCCGCUUGGAAGUGGAGGCAAGAUUGAUGUAGCACACUAACACACUUUUAAUCAUGGAAGUCAUUGAGCUUGAUCCUUUCCCCUGACUUGAUAGAAUAUGUUUAUGAUAUGAUUAUCCACCUCCUACACUUACUGCCAACAGGGUGAAAUCAUUCUAUCAAGCCAUGCCAGGAAGUAAUCAUCAGCUUUCUGCAUUUAGCAUUUUUUACUCUUAGAUGCAGCCUUUUCUUACCACAGCUUCCUUUUAUUAAAUCCCACAGAGCCGAAUGGCAUAACUUACGCGAAUAAUUGAUGCAACCGGAAAAUUGUGCAAGGUUUGAGGUCCAGUUGUUUAUAUAUAUACAGUAGACGCCCCUACAACGUAAAUAAUCCGUUCCGAGAACCUUUAUGUUAUAGGGAUUUUAUGUUAUACGAAGCGUAAAAUACAUGUAAAUAGCCUAAUCCGUUCCAAGAUCUUCCCAAACUCACCCCCUUUGGCACUUCAAAAUAUUCAAAGUCCACCAAAUAUGGUGGGAAAAUAUAAGAAAACAUGAGCAUAAACAUAGUAGAGUAACAUUCCAAUAUAAAAUAAGGUAAUAAAUAAGAUUACUGUAAAUGAAUAAAACUGAAAAACAAAAUCAAUCCUACCGUUCACGAGAUGUCUUGAUCAGGAGCACAAGUGGAGGCAGGAAGGAGGAGGAGGACUAGCCUGAAUCAAAACGCGACUCAAAGAGUCUAAGAGUCAGCUGGUCUCACAGACAAACGCACACACACUACACGAUAAUGCUGUGUGCAAAAGUUUAAUUUGUAACUUCACUUAAUUGUUUAAGUUAGUUUCAGGGCGACUACGAAGAAGCACGUGGGGGCCACACAAACUACUGAGAAUCAUUUUGAGUUGCUACAAUGACAUUUUAGCAAAAUGGACCAGUGUGCUGCAUCAUUUUUUCACUUUCAUUUUUGGGGUGUCUUUGAUUUCCCCCAUUGCCUGACAAUGUCGGGGCAUGCUCCUAAUGAGACUACGGAUGGUGUCCUGGGGGAUCUCCUCCCAUAUCUGGACCAGGGCAUCACUGAGGUACCUGGACGCAUGGAGGAGAUUCCAGGAGACAGGUAGUUACUCCAGGAGAGCUGGACAGGGCCGUAGAAGGUCCUUCAACCCUCAGCAGGAUUGAUAUCUGCUCCUUUGUGUAAGGAGGAACAGGAUGAGCACUGCCAGAGCCCUACAAAAUGACCUCCAGCAGGCCACCGGUGUGAAUGUUUCUGACCAAACAAUCAGAAACAGGCUCCAUGAGGGUGGCCUGAGGGCCCGACGUCCUGUAGUGGGCCCUGUGCUCACUGCCCAGCACCGUAGAGCUCGAUUGGCAUUUGCCAUAGACCACCAGAAUUGGCGACUACACCACUGGUGACAGACGUGAAAGGGUCUGGAGAUGCCGUGGAGAAUGUUAUGCUGCCUGCAACAUCAUUCAGCAUGACCGGUUUGGUGGUGGGUCAGUGAUGGUCUGGGGAGGCAUAUCCCUGGAAGGACGUACAGACCUCUACAGGUUAGAUAAUGGCACCCUGACUGCUAUUAGGUAUCGGGAUGAAAUCCUUGGACCCAUUGUCAGAACCUACACUGGUGCAGUGGGACCUGGGUUCCUCCUGGUCCACGAAAAUGCCUGACCUCAUGUGGCUAGUGUAUGCAGGUAGUUCCUGGAGGAUGAAGGAAUUGAUACCAUUGACUGGCCCCCACGUUCACCUGACCUAAACCCAAUAGAACACCUCUGGGACAUUAUGUUUAGGUCCAUCCGGUGCCGCCAGGUUGCUCCUCAGACUGUCCAGGAGCUCAUUGAUGCCCUGGUCCAGAUCUGGGAGGAGAUCCGCCAGGACACUAUCUGUAGUCUCAUUAGGAGCAUGCCUGUCAUGAGUUAAAGUGCUGCGCUGCUGCCAUCUUAUGGUCUCUUGUUGCAGCGCACCUGCCCACCUUGGGGAGGAGCUCAGACACACCUGUUUUCAAUCUUCGUUGGACUACUUUAGCUCUGCUUCCAUGUUCAGUCAUUGCCGGAUUGUUUUCCCAUGUUCAUCUGUUCCAUGCUCAUGUCCUGUCUUGUAUGCCUUCCCACGUUUCUGGCCUCGGCUAGUUCCUGUAAGUUCCUGUCAGCCUUUUUGCUACAAGUCUGUUUGUUGCUAUUUUCAAGUUCUCGCUCCUGCGCAGUUUUUCCAUUGCAGUGGAGUUUUUGUUACCAUUCUCUGCUAGUUUUUCAGCAGCUACCUUAGUUAGCAUUUUUUUGGUAUUUUUCUGUUUCCCCUGCCGGUUAGUUGUGCAGCGCCUUUAGUUACUAUAGUGUCAUAUUUUCGUAUUGGAAUAAACCUUCGUAAACCUACACCGGUGUCUUCUCUGCAUCAUGGAAUCCGGUUACCGGCUGUGUGCCACCCCGUGACAGUACAAUCCGGCCAUGGUGGAUUCUGCAGAGUUAGAGUACCCCAUUCGGGGUCGGGACACAGAAGAACUGUUCAGCCGCACCUCCCCCCGGCCGAUACCACGGAUGGUUCCCUCGGCCCACUGGCAGCGGCGCCUCGACCCCGCCAUUGUUGAGACCACCGGCAGCUCCACGGAGGAACCCAUGCAGCGUGGAACAGGUCGCCUGCCUACGGCGGAACUGGCUCGACGGUGUCGCCUACGCCUCUGCCUAUACUGCGGAGCUGCGAACCACCUCAUCGCGGCAUGCAUCAUCAGGCCACCUCGCCGCACUCAAUCACCCCCAGACGACGUCAAAGGUACUCGCCCUCCAGCUGACGCAGGUCGAGAAUCGGCUGGUGAUCGACCACCAGUAUCAGACUGUGAGUACCCCGUCAAGCAAGGUCACAAGAGGACCACACAAUUAGGACUACAUGUGGCUGGAACAAUUAGUGGGGGGUAGGAGCAUACCAGUUUCCGCAUUCAUUGACUCUGGAGCAGACGAUAAUUUCUUGGACUCAAGUUUUGUCAAUGUUCAUAAGAUACCUAAGGUUAAGUUGUCUAAUCCUAAAGUGGUUCGCUCCCUUGAUGGUGCAUUGUUAGAGAUGGUGUCAUAUCAGACUGAACUGGUGUCUCUUCGACUCUCAGGUAACCAUCAGGAGAUGAUUCGAUUCUUUAUUAUUCCCUCUCAUUCAGCCCCCGUUGUACUUGGAUUGACCUGGCUAAAACUCCAUAACCCAUCAAUUGAUUGGAAGAGCAUGACUAUUAACUGGGGGAAUCAUUGCUUUGCUAAUUGUCUCCGAUCUGCCGUACCCGUGAGUCCAAUUAUCAGACCUAUUGACGAGAAGAUUGACUUAUCUAAGGUUCCCAUGUGUUACCAUGAUCUGGCAUGAGUAUUUAGUAAAGAUAGAGCCCAGAGUUUGCCACCCCAUCGUCCGUACGACUGUGCAAUUAAACUCAUGCCAGACGCACCAUUACCUGGUUCUAGGCUUUACAACGUUUCCGCACCUGAACAGAAGGCCUGAAAGGAUUAUAUCACGACCUCGUUGGCAGCAGGGCUCAUCCGCCCCUCUUUGUCACCUCUGGGGGCUGGUUUCUUUUUCGUCAGAAAAAAGAUAAAUCCCUACGCCCGUGCAUCGAUUAUCGUGGGCUCAACGAAAUUACUGUAAAGAAUUGCUACUCGCUUCCACUGAUGGAUUCAGCAUUUUCGUUCCUUCACUCCGCUAAGAUAUUUACGAAAUUGGACUUGCGUAACGCUUACCACCUGGUCCGCAUUAGGGAGGGGGACGAGUGGAAGACAGCAUUUAACACUCCACUGGGUCACUAUGAAUACCUGGUCAUGCCCUUCGAGCUUACUAAUGCACCUGCCGUGUUUCAAAACCUCAUUAACGAUGUUCUUAGGGAUCUCUUAAAUCAAGUCUGUUUUGUCUACCUGGAUGAUAUGUUAAUUUUUUCCAACUCCUUACAGGAUCACAUUCGCCACGUACGCCAGGUCUUAGUGAGUGGGAGCCGUCCUGUCCCAACAUUCCCCAGUCGACCAGAGGCUCCACCCGUGUGCAUUCUUCUCACGUCGCCUCACCAAGGCAGAGGAAUAUUCGACCCUUCCAAGGAGGAUGGACCACCAGAAACCAUUUUACCUGUAGCCCAGGUCUUCGCUGGGACAUCGAAAGGAGAGUCAUGGAAGCAGCCGCCGAGACAGAUCAGCCCGAAAGCUGUUCGUGCCACCAGAACUCAAACCCGAAUUCCUUCGCUGGGGCCACACAUCUAAGUUUUCCUGUCAUCCCGGGGUCCAACGUACCCACUUCAUCUUGGCACAGAGGUUCUGGUGGUCAUCUAUGUUGGCUGACACCAAGGGAUACGUCGCAGCCUGCUCUGUCUGUGCCAGGAGCAAACCGUCCCAUCGCCCUCCUGCUGGAUGCCUGCAACCACGACCCAUCCCCUCCCGCCCCUCCUUGAGGCCAACUAUGAGCCAAUUGCGCAAGUCUCCAUCAAAUGUGGCAUAUACCAAGGAGAUGCUCUGACCUUGCAUUCUGUUCUGCAUAGGCCUGGACCCCCUCAGCCAAUUAAUCAACAAGACUGGCUAUGGAUACCGAUUUAAGAAUGGGGCCACCGUCAGUCACCUCCUCUACAUGGAUGACAUCAAGCUGUACGCUAAGAGCGAGCGAGACAUUGACUCACUGAUCCACACUACCAGGAUCUAUAGCAGGGACAUCGGAAUGUCAUUGGGACUGGAGAAAUGUGGCCGAAUGGUAACAAAGAGAGGGAAGGUAGUCCUUACAGAGGGCGUUGCACUCCCAGAGGGCAGAAUAGUAGAUGUUGAGGAGAGCCUUGGAAUACCACAGGCAAAUGGUAACAAAGAAGAGGCCACAAGCAAAGCUGCAACUGUCAAGUAUCUGCAACGUGUGAGGCAAGUCCUGAGAAGUCAGCUCAAUGGCAAGAACAAGAUCUGGCAAUUAACAGCUAUGCCCUGCCAUUGAUCAGAUACCCUGCUGGGAUAAUAAGCUGGCCAAAGGAGGAAGUUCAGACCACAGAUGUUAAAACACGGAAGCUGCUCACCAUGCACGGAGGGUUCCAGUACCAGUACCCAGAGGCUAUACGCUAAGCGCAGACGGAGGCCGAGGAUUAGUGAGCAUCAGGACCACUAUCCAAGACGAAACAUCCAAGCUCCACGAACACAUCAGGAAGAUGGCCCCAAGAGAUGAAUCACCUGAAUGUCUCAGGCAGUUGAAACUGGAAAAGGAGUUGGAGGGAUGUACCACCGACAGAUAACUGAAGUGGCAGACAUGAACAAGUCCUACCAAUGGUUAGAGAGGGCUGGACUGAAGGACAGCACAGAGGUGCUAAUCAUGGCAGCACAGGAGCAGGCCUUGAGCACCAGAGCAAUAGAGGCCCAGAUCUCCCACACCAGGCAGGAUCCCAGGUGCAGGCUGUGCAAAGAGGCCUCUGAAACAGUCCAGCACCUAACAGCAGGCUGUAAGAUACUGGCAGGAAAAGAAUACAUGGAACGCCAUAACCAAGUACCCGCUAUAGUGUACAGAAACAUCUGUGCAGAAUAUGGACUGGAGACCCCUAGAUCUCAAUGGGAAAUGAGAGGGCUAAGAUCCUGUGGGACUUCCGAAUACAGACCGAUAAGAUGGUUGUGGCUGACCAACCGUGAUCAUGGAUAAGCAGCAGAGGACAGCCAUUGUGAUGGAUGUAGCCAUCCCCAACGAUGGCAAUAUCAGGAAAAAGGAACACCAGAAACUAGAGAAAUACCAAGGAAGACCUGGAGAGAGCCUGGAAGGUGAACGCAACAGUGGUGCCCGUGGCCAUAGGAGCACUGGGGGCCGUGUCCCCCACACUGGAGAAGUGGCUCCAGCAGAUACCUGGAGAAACAUCAGACAUCUCUGUCCAGGAGAGCGCAGUCCUAGGAGCAGCUAAGACACUGAACAGGACCCUCAAGCUCCCAGGCCUGUGGAACAUUUAAUCAAUCACAAUGUCAAUCAAUGUCAAUCACUUUUUUGUGAAAUCAAACCGUCCACUUAGGAAGCAACGCAGAUUAACUAUCAAUUUCACAAUUGCUGUUGUGCAAAUGGAAUAGACAACAAGUGGACAGCAAGACACCCCCGUAAUAACAACAAUAAUAAUAAUGAUGCAUUUGAUUUCCAUUGAUAAUUUUUGUGUGAUUUUGUUGUUACUCAACUAUGUAAGUAUUAAAAUAGUAUUUACAUAGUAUUUACAUAGUAUUUAAUCAGAAAAUUUCAUUAAUUCAGAUCAAGGAAGAA